RNAcentral lists this ribosomal RNA (246 nucleotides) under Triticum aestivum (bread wheat). RNAcentral describes it as "partial small subunit ribosomal RNA". Lineage: Eukaryota; Viridiplantae; Streptophyta; Magnoliopsida; Poales; Poaceae. The record is from RNAcentral.
AUGAAGGCUGUCGAGAAGGAGUUGUUACUUUUGGAAAAUGACAUGAAUGCUCUAGAAGAGAUGCUGAGGCUACCUGGGCUUUUACAGUGCUUGAUUACAUUGGAAAACUCAUAUUCGGCAUUGUUGGGUCUGCUUGGGUUUGCUGCUUUUGCAUUCUUCUGCUUCUAUCUCCUCAUCGCAGUGAUUGCUGGAGAAAUGAUGCUUGGCCUGAAAUUAGUUUUCAUCAGCAUUCACCCAAUGAAGUAG